UUCUACAACUGUGCAACAUGCCGUUUUAUCAGUAUUUUAUCUCUUGGUUUUGUACUUUGUGGUCUUGAAAGUGCAAAUUGUUUAGAUUGCCAGCCUGGUUGGAAUCAGUUUCAGAAUAAAUAUAUGCUAUUGGUUCAGUCAUACAGCUAGGCCAUGGGGAGAGGCUGAGGCUAUAUGUGCUGGAUUUCAUUCAAAGUUGGCGGAACCUAGGAC
Molecule: long non-coding RNA, 213 nt
Organism: Saccostrea cuccullata (small rock oyster)
Lineage: Eukaryota; Metazoa; Mollusca; Bivalvia; Ostreida; Ostreidae
Exons: 3
Source: RefSeq, a predicted model, not a curated record